UGGUGGAGCGAUUUGUCUGGUUUAUUCCGAUAACGAACGAGACUCUAACCUACUAAAUAGUGACUGAAUACGACCGGUUCAGUUCGCUUCUUAGAGGGAUAAGUGGUGUUCAGCCACAUGAAAAGGAGCAAUAACA
This 136-nucleotide ribosomal RNA is filed under the name uncultured eukaryote. RNAcentral's name for it is "partial 18S ribosomal RNA". It matches the Rfam family "Eukaryotic small subunit ribosomal RNA", at positions 1299 to 1458 of the family's 1831-position model. The record is from RNAcentral.